AUGGCCGACUUCGUCGAGAAAAUCAUGGGCUGGCUCCCUGGCGGUGGAAAUGCCGUGGCAAGUGCCACCUCCCUCACCCCCGUCGUUGAGUACGACGGCGAGGACCGCAUCAGCGUCCUCCCCGACGACCUCCUCCGCAACAUCGUCUCCCGCCUCCCCGUCAAGGACGCCGCCCGAACCGCCGCCCUCGCCUCCAGGUGGCGCCACCUCUGGCGCUCCACCCCGCUCAUCCUCAGCGACGCCGACCUGUCCCCCUCUGCGGUCGCUCGCGUCCUCGCAGACCACCCGGGCCCUUUCCGCGUCGCCCACAUCGCCCGCUGCAGGUUCGCAUCCCGCGGGCGUGAGCUCGCGGAGUGGCUGGGCCUCCUCGCCGCCAAGGGCAUCCAGGACCUCGUCCUCGUCAACGACGAGGAGCUCCCCACCGACAUCCUCCGCUGCGCCUCACUCCAGCGCCUCUUCCUGGGAUUCUUUACGUUCCCGGACACCUCUGAUCUCUCCCUCCGUGCUGACGUGCUGCCUCGCAUUCAGGAGCUCGGCAUGUCCGCUUGCAGCAUCAGCGAAUGGGACCUGCUCUACAUGCUCGAUUGCAGCCCGGUUCUGGAGAAGCUCACGUUCGUAUUCAGCGGUACGCCCGAUGCCUUCCACCUCCGCUGCAAGAGCCUCAGGUGCGUGGUCCUCUGGUGUUUUGCGGCAUUCAUAGUCGAUGUGACGGACGCCCUGCUCCUGGAGCGGCUCUUCCUGCUGGAAGCGCCCCGCAGAGGUGACGACUGGAGUAUUGUGAUGAUCAAGAUUGCUUGUGUGUCCAACCUGCGGGCACUCGGCUUCUUGGAGCCAAGAUUUCACCGGCUGAAGAUCGGCGACAAUGACAUCAAUCCUGGCACAGUGUGCCGAGCCCAAGUACAGUGGUUCCAAGCGUCAAGAUAUUGGCUUUGA
This 933-nucleotide ribosomal RNA is filed under the name Triticum aestivum (bread wheat). RNAcentral's name for it is "partial small subunit ribosomal RNA". The record is from RNAcentral. Lineage: Eukaryota; Viridiplantae; Streptophyta; Magnoliopsida; Poales; Poaceae.